AUACGGAGGAUCCGAGCGUUAUCCGGAUUUAUUGGGUUUAAAGGGUGCGCAGGCGGCCAUUUAAGUCAGCGGUUAAAUCGUGGGGCUCAACCCCAUUCUGCCGUUGAUACUGGGUGGCUUGAUUGCGGUAGAGGUUGGCGGAAUUCGUUGUGUAGCGGUGAAAUGCAUAGAUAUGACGAAGAACACCGAUUGCGUAGGCAGCUGACCAGACCGCAAAUGACGCUCAUGCACGAAAGUGCGGGGAUCGAACAGGAUUAGAUACCCUGGUAGUCCGCACAGUAAACGAUGAAUACUUGUUUUCGGCGAUAUAAUGUCGGAGGCAAAGCGAAAGCGAUAAGUAUUCCACCUGGGGAGUACGCCGGCAACGGUGAAACUCAAAGGAAUUGACGGGG
Molecule: ribosomal RNA, 392 nt
Filed under: uncultured bacterium
Lineage: Bacteria
Description: partial 16S ribosomal RNA
Rfam family: Bacterial small subunit ribosomal RNA
Source: RNAcentral